This 104-nucleotide non-coding RNA is filed under the name Staphylococcus cohnii. RNAcentral's name for it is "SAM-I sequence". It matches the Rfam family "SAM riboswitch aptamer (S box leader)". Rfam says of the family: The SAM riboswitch is found upstream of a number of genes which code for proteins involved in methionine or cysteine biosynthesis in Gram-positive bacteria. The SAM riboswitch acts at the level of transcription termination control. The record is from RNAcentral. Lineage: Bacteria; Bacillati; Bacillota; Bacilli; Caryophanales; Staphylococcaceae.
CUCUUAUUAAGAGUGAGUGGAGGGACUUGGCCCUUAGAAGCUCCAGCAACAGCUAAAUAGCGAUGUGCUAAUUCCAACAGUUUUAAACAACUGAAAGAUGAGAA